This 494-nucleotide ribosomal RNA is filed under the name uncultured bacterium. Its description in RNAcentral is "bacterial SSU rRNA". It matches the Rfam family "Bacterial small subunit ribosomal RNA", at positions 352 to 859 of the family's 1533-position model. The record is from RNAcentral.
CAGUGGGGAAUUUUACGCAAUGGGGGAAACCCUGACGUAGCGACACCGCGUGAGCGAAGAAGCCCUUUGGGGUGUAAAGCUCUGUCAGCAGGAACGAAUAAAAUGACGGUACCUGCAGAGGAAGCAUCGGCUAACUACGUGCCAGCAGCCGCGGUAAGACGUAGGAUGCAAGCGUUGUCCGGAUUUAUUGGGCGUAAAGAGUUCGUAGGCGGUUUGUUAAGUUUGAUGUUAAAGAUCGGGGCCUAACCCUGGGAGUGCAUUGAAUACUGGCAGACUGGAGUGCAGUAGAGGCGAGUGGAAUUCCCAGUGUAGCGGUGAAAUGCGUAGAUAUUGGGAAGAACACCGGUGGCGCAGGCGACUCGCUGGGCUGUAACUGACGCUGAGGAACGAAAGCUAGGGGAGCAAAUGGGAUUAGAUACCCCAGUAGUCCUAGCUGUAAACGAUGGAUACUAGGCGUUGCAGGUAUCGACCCCUGCAGUGCCGCAGUUAACGCG